Molecule: long non-coding RNA, 640 nt
Organism: Nerophis lumbriciformis (worm pipefish)
Lineage: Eukaryota; Metazoa; Chordata; Actinopteri; Syngnathiformes; Syngnathidae
Source: RefSeq, a predicted model, not a curated record
CAACAGGGCAGGUGUUUUUCUGAAGGCAAUUAAUGUAUGGAAAGCUGAGAAAACUUUACUUUGGUUGAAGUGUUUGGUCUAAGAAGGUUCCAGAAAAACGGCAGUAUUGCUUUGUCGAGUGAAACUCCGGAGUCAGGGCAGAGGAGCACAGAAAGUGAGAGGAGAGAGGCCUCUACUGGAAAGAGGUAAAACUGGGAUCAACACAGCUGAAGAGCAUGAUGCCGGUACACAUGUGGAGGACUGUGGCAACUUCAUCUGGAAGGACUACAACCACCUCUUCAUACAGAUAAGGGGAAAAAUCAUAUACGACUAUGAAUCAUUUUUCUUGUUACUUGUUUUUGUCUAUGCCAUUCAUGAUCCCUGGUUCAUUUGUAUUUUUAAUGAGACAAUUUGCCAUGGAGCUUGAGUAAGUUGACAAAAAUUAUACAUAAACACAAAAUAUAUGUCAUAUGUGUCACUGUUGGCAUAGACCCCCUCUCAUAACCAAACACAGGUCUGCUUUGAAGGUAGCCAUGGCUUCAGGUGUUCUACCUCCAGGUCUAAUCAAUUUAUAAUUGACCGUUUUAGUUACACUAUUAUUUUUUCAAAGUUAAAUUAAAAAAUUACAAAAAAUGGUAUUUAAAUGGCAUUUAUAAGUAAU